RNAcentral lists this ribosomal RNA (398 nucleotides) under Hemidactylus ulii. Its description in RNAcentral is "partial 12S ribosomal RNA". It matches the Rfam family "Bacterial small subunit ribosomal RNA", at positions 794 to 1388 of the family's 1533-position model. The record is from RNAcentral. Lineage: Eukaryota; Metazoa; Chordata; Lepidosauria; Squamata; Gekkonidae.
GCUUAGACGUAAACCAAGGCAGCCUUUUAAACCAACCUGCCCGCCAGAGUAUUACAAGUGAAAAACUUAAAACUCAAAGGACUUGACGGCAUUCCACACCCUACUAGAGGAGCCUGUCCUAUAACCGAUAAUCCACGUUUCACCUCACCUGUUCUCGCACAAACUCAGCCUAUAUACCGCCGUCUUCCAGCUCGCCUUACAAAAGAACCAAACGCGGGCAAACCAGCCUAACACUAAUACGUCAGGUCAAGGUGUAGCUAACGCACAGGCAGAGAUGGGCUACAUUUUCUACACAACAGAAAACAACCCCCCGCACCAUGAAACAAGUGCCCAAAGGAGGAUUUAGCAGUAAGCCGCGCAAGACUGCCCGACUGAACAACGCCAUGGAAUGCGUACAC